This 309-nucleotide ribosomal RNA is filed under the name uncultured bacterium. RNAcentral describes it as "bacterial SSU rRNA". It matches the Rfam family "Bacterial small subunit ribosomal RNA", at positions 335 to 638 of the family's 1533-position model. The record is from RNAcentral.
ACUCCUACGGGAGGCAGCAGUGGGAAUAUUGCACAAUGGGCGCAAGCCUGAUGCAGCCAUGCCGCGUGUUNAAGAAGGCCUUCGGGUUGUAAAGUACUUUCAGUCGUGAGGAAGGCGAGUACGUUAAUAGCGUGCUUGUUUGACGUUAGCUGCAGAAGAAGCACCGGCUAACUCCGUGCCAGCAGCCGCGGUAAUACGGAGGGUGCGAGCGUUAAUCGGAAUUACUGGGCGUAAAGCGCAUGCAGGUGGUUUGUUAAGUCAGAUGUGAAAGCCCGGGGCUCAACCUCGGAAUUGCAUUGAACUUGGACA